UGGACUAUUUAGAUGAGCUGUCCACAAGA
This 29-nucleotide non-coding RNA is filed under the name Rattus norvegicus (Norway rat). The record is from RNAcentral. Lineage: Eukaryota; Metazoa; Chordata; Mammalia; Rodentia; Muridae.